CCGCGAGGUGGAGCAAAUCCCUAAAAGCCAUCCCAGUUCGGAUCGCAGGCUGCAACUCGCCUGCGUGAAGUUGGAAUCGCUAGUAAUCGCGGAUCAGCAUGCCGCGGUGAAUACGUUCCCGGGCCUUGUACACACCGCCCGUCACACCAUGAGAGUCGGGAACACCCGAAGUCCGUAGUCUAACCGCAAGGGGACGCGGCCGAAGGUGGGUUCGAUAAUUGGGGUGAAGUCGUAACAAGGUAAC
Molecule: ribosomal RNA, 244 nt
Filed under: uncultured bacterium
Lineage: Bacteria
Description: partial 16S ribosomal RNA
Rfam family: Bacterial small subunit ribosomal RNA
Source: RNAcentral